GAUGAACGCUGGCGGCGUGCCUAAUACAUGCCAGUAGAACGCUGAAGGAGGAGCUUGCUCUUCUGGAUGAGUUGCGAACGGGUGAGUAACGCGUAGGUAACCUGCCUGGUAGCGGGGGAUAACUAUUGGAAACGAUAGCUAAUACCGCAUGACAACAGUUAUUGCAUGAUAACUGUUUAAAAGGGGCAACUGCUCCACUACCAGAUGGACCUGCGUUGUAUUAGCUAGUUGGUGAGGUAACGGCUCACCAAGGCGACGAUACAUAGCCGACCUGAGAGGGUGAUCGGCCACACUGGGACUGAGACACGGCCCAGACUCCUACGGGAGGCAGCAGUAGGGAAUCUUCGGCAAUGGACGGAAGUCUGACCGAGCAACGCCGCGUGAGUGAAGAAGGUUUUCGGAUCGUAAAGCUCUGUUGUAAGAGAAGAACGAGUGUGAGAGUGGAAAGUUCACACUGUGGCGGUAUCUUACCAGAAAGGGACGGCUAACUACGUG
Molecule: ribosomal RNA, 495 nt
Filed under: uncultured bacterium
Lineage: Bacteria
Description: partial 16S ribosomal RNA
Rfam family: Bacterial small subunit ribosomal RNA
Source: RNAcentral